UACGGAGGGUGCGAGCGUUGUCCGGAAUCACUGGGCGUAAAGGGCGCGCAGGCGGCUUUGUUUGUCAGGCGUGAAAGCCCCGGGCUUAACCUGGGAACUGCGUUUGAUACGGCAGGGCUAGAGUUCGGGAGAGGAGAGUGGAAUUCCCAGUGUAGAGGUGAAAUUCGUAGAUAUUGGGAAGAACACCGGUGGCGAAGGCGGCUCUCUGGACCGAUACUGACGCUGAGGCGCGAAAGCGUGGGGAGCAAACAGG
Molecule: ribosomal RNA, 253 nt
Filed under: uncultured bacterium
Lineage: Bacteria
Description: partial 16S ribosomal RNA
Rfam family: Bacterial small subunit ribosomal RNA
Source: RNAcentral